Molecule: ribosomal RNA, 403 nt
Filed under: uncultured bacterium
Lineage: Bacteria
Description: partial 16S ribosomal RNA
Rfam family: Bacterial small subunit ribosomal RNA
Source: RNAcentral
UUAGGAAUUUUGGGCAAUGGGCGCAAGCCUGACCCAGCAACGCCGCGUGGGGGACGACGGCCUUCGGGUUGUAAACCCCUUUUCCGGGGGACGAUGGUGACGGUACCCCGGGAAGAAGCCCCGGCUAACUACGUGCCAGCAGCCGCGGUAAUACGUAGGGGGCGAGCGUUGUCCGGAUUCAUUGGGCGUAAAGCGCGCGCAGGCGGCCCGCGGCGUCGCCCGUGAAAGCCCCCGGCUCAACCGGGGGGGGACGGGCGAGACGGGCGGGCUGGAGGCCGGUAGGGGGGGACGGAAUUCCCGGUGUAGUGGUGGAAUGCGUAGAGAUCGGGAGGAACACCAGUGGCGAAGGCGGUCCCCUGGGCCGGGCCUGACGCUGAGGCGCGAACGCGUGGGGAGCGAUCCG